GAGGAGGAGGAGGAGGAGGAGGGGGAGGGGGUUAGAGGCCGCCCCUGCCUCCACCAAUGACAUGAAAUCUGAGGUCAACCAUUCCAUGACCUAUUCCAGCAUUACUGACCCUACUACUGAUGACUAUGUUGGUGACAGAACCCUGGCAGGAGGAGGUGACGUUUUCUCGGACAUUCAGAGUGAGGGAGACCAUGACAGAGGACACAGAAGAAAGAGAUUGUGACAGGUGAAAGCCCUGAGAUUCCCCAGCCCAGUGGCAGCAGGGGAGGCGACGCACACCUCUGCCUCAGCCGCCCAUGGAUAGCUGACAGUCCUGAGAUCCUGUGGUUCAGUGGUGGCAGAGGAGACACACACCUCUGCCUUAGAAGUGCUACAACAAAGCCAGCCAUCUUUGAUCCACAGUGACUGACAGAGAAUGUGGAUGAGAGGACAGAAGAGCCAGUGUUCCAAGUACCACCACCAUCACCACUGCCACCACCACCACCACCAUCAGGAGCACAGAUUCACUGAAGUCUCUACCAAGAUUUCUUUGAGUUUUUUGAUAAAUUUAACUUCCAAGAGAGAGAGAGAGAGAGAGAGAGAGAGAGAGAGAGAGAGAGAGAUGAUUGUUACUGGUAGUGUGUGAAGCCUGCCCACUGUGCUUGUAUAUACAGGUGUGUGUGUGUGUGUGUGUGUGUGUGUUUGUUUGUUUGUUUGUUUGUUUCGUAUCCUUCACACUGCCUGCCCUAUCUAGCUUGCCACACUCCACGAAGCCAUUGACAGCCUUCUUCUUCCUUUCAUUUGUCUCUCCACAAUCCUACAAGCAGCACCACCAUCCACAUCCUGUCCUCUCCACUCUCCCUAACUCCAAAUCACUUGCAUCACAUCUCCGCCUAGUACUUCUGACACUGCAGUAUCAUGUGCUCCACCACCUCAUCCUCCCCAUGGCUCACGUUGCUGCAAGACUCACACCUGUAACUCCUUGCAUUCACAUCCAUACACUGUCCUUGCUUAGAAGAGAUCACCAGACAGGCUUCCCUCAUACCACCUUUCAUACAUUGAGGGUUCUUGUGUUCCAUCCUGUUCUUCUAUUCAUUCAGUUUAUCACUCCUCUGAUCUAUCUCACUUUUCCACCUUGUACCUCAAUGUAAUCUAUCCCUUGUUCUGUCAUGGUGAACCUGUCUCCCCUCCAAAGGUCACAGUAUGUUUGCUGUCUUCCAUUGAAUUGUGUCUCUUUCAUUUAAACUUUUCACUGUGAUGGGCAACAUUUCACUCCACUACAAGAAAUGAAUGGCUUCUUUAUAAUCAUCUUCAGGAAUGGAGAUAGGCAGAUUUUGCAGUUUCUGGCUAGUGCAAUGUUUGAAAGUGGCUGCAGAACAAGGAAACGUCCCACAGUGGUUAGUAUUUAAAUAAGGUAUGCCUAAUAGCAGUGAUCUGUUAUUUUAUUUAUUUAUUUAUUUAUUUUCAUUUUUUUAUUUAUUUAUUUAUUUUUUUAUUUAUUUAUUUUUUCAGUGCAAGAAGGGCCACAUGAUGCCAAGUCAGCCAGGUCCUCACACCUUCACCUGUUCACCCCUUCUCUGAUUUUCAUCCUGCUCUUCAUAUAUUUCAAGAAUAGAUUUGGUCCCUCUCUACAUUUGCCCUUAACAUUCUGCUCAUAACUUGCCCUGUCUUCUUCAGUAACCCCCACACACUCACCUCUCCCCAGCUGCUUGUGCGUGCGUGUGUGUGUGUGUUUGAGCAUGUUCUAUUCCUGUAUUUUUAUUUAUUUAUUUAUUUAUUUAUUUAUUUUUAUUUAUUUUUUUUGAAAGGCCACAGAUUAAUUAGGCCCUCAAGGGUGUUUUUUUUUCCUGUUUCUCUUUGUUAAACUAUCACUGGAAUCAUGAAAUCUCAUUAACUUCCAGUGUAACCUGUUAAACACACAGAGUGAGAGAGAGAGAGAGAGAGAGAGAGAGAGAGAGAGAGAUUUAAUCCUCUCACUGCUUCAACCAUCACCAUUCAAUUAGUCAUAAGAUUUUCAAACUGGUCGCAUUGUUAAAAAUUGUAAUUUGUAAAAAUAGAUUAAUAAAAUUAUCUGCCUCAAAA
Molecule: long non-coding RNA, 2061 nt
Organism: Scylla paramamosain (green mud crab)
Lineage: Eukaryota; Metazoa; Arthropoda; Malacostraca; Decapoda; Portunidae
Exons: 4
Source: RefSeq, a predicted model, not a curated record